Molecule: RNA transcript, 1464 nt
Organism: Cercocebus atys (sooty mangabey)
Lineage: Eukaryota; Metazoa; Chordata; Mammalia; Primates; Cercopithecidae
Gene name: 60S ribosomal protein L7a pseudogene
Exons: 1
Source: RefSeq, a predicted model, not a curated record
GUGAAACUGUUUGAAAAAAACAAACAAAACAAAAAAACAAAAAAAAAGAAAAAGAAAUGCAUUACUCACAUUUUGAAACUUUUGGGGAGAGCAGAUCAGGUGCCUAAGCCAGUCCAAAAAUGGCUUUGACAAAGCAAAAGCAAGUGGCCCUGGGAUUACUGCAGUUAGGGGUGGAACCUGGGUGAGCAUUCCUGCACAAAGACCCAGGCUUUGUGUGGCUUGAACUUCCCCCUACAGUGCCAAGAGAAGGAGUGCAUGCGCUUUCUAUUGGCUCACUUACCUGUGGGUAAGAGGGAAUCGUGGAAGUGGAGCUUGAAAGUUUUCAGUCGUAGAACACCAAAAAUGCAGUCAGGUUCUUUAUAAUAUGGGGUCACACCUUAAAUCCCGCCCAGUUUUCUGAUACCAAGAGAUUCAAUGCAAUAAUAUACCAUCCAUUAACCAAUGGAUGGUUAUGGAAUUCUUUUCCUGGUGAUUAUAACUUUAAAGCAUUUUUUUAACCCAUCAUCCUUUAGUUUAUGCCUGUUUAAUCUGGUAGGAUGUGCAGGCACAGUCCAUUUCCAGAGAGAGAGAGUAAAGUGAUUGUUAGCCAACCAUAAACACAUACGGAGGCACCCUUCACUUUGUACUGUGGCACCUAGCCCACACAAGUGAGGAACGCUUCUGUUUGUACUCUCUCGCUGUCGUAUUAUCCUGUCCAUGAGCCCCUCGGUUUGUUUUUUAUUUUGUUCUUCUGCCCCUCCUAAGAUACCAGAUUCAUUCUUGAGACCAGCCAGGCAGCCUUGGUGUUGACCCACUAGCGGUGGGGCAGCUGCACCUGAUCCUUAGCCUGUGUUACUGGACAGGUGUCAAAUCUUUGAAGUAAAAACAAAAUCCUAAACCCUGGCUGGGCCUGGUGCCUCAUGCCUAUAAGGCUAGCAAUUCGAAAGGUUGAAGUGGAAGGAUCUCUUGAGCCCAGGAGUUGGAGACCAGCCUAGGCAACAUAGUGAGACCUUAUCUCUACUAAAAUUUUUUUUUUUAAUUAGCUGGGUAUUAACUUUGAAAUUUACUGCUUUUGGUCAAAAUCCACUCUUCAGCUAAUGCUUUCUUCCAGCUGGUUGUCUUCUUGCCUGCUCUGUGUUGUAAAAUGAGGGUCCCUUACUGCAUUAUCAAGGGGAAGGCAAGACUGGGACGUCUAGUCCACCGGAAGACCUGCUCCACUGUCGCCUUCACAUAGGUGAACUCGGAAGACAAAGGCGCUUUGGCUAAGCUGGUGGACGCUAUCAGGACCAAUUACAACGACAAAAACGAUGAGAUCCGCUAUCACUGGGGCGGCAAUGUCCUGGGUCCCAAGUCUGUGGCUCGCAUCGCCAAGCUUGAAAAGGCAAAGGCUAAAGAACUUGCCACUAAACUGGGUUAAAUGUACACUGUUGAGUUUUUUGUACAUAAAAAUAAUUAAAAUAAUACAAAUUUUACUUCAAAAAAAAA